UGGGGAAUUGUUCGCAAUGGGCGCAAGCCUGACGACGCAACGCCGCGUGGAGGAUGAAGGUCUUCGGAUUGUAAACUCCUGUUGCCCGGGACGAAUGGCUUCAACCUAACACGUUGGAGUGUGACGGUACCGGGUGAGGAAGCCCCGGCUAACUCUGUGCCAGCAGCCGCGGUAAUACAGAGGGGGCAAGCGUUGUUCGGAAUUACUGGGCGUAAAGGGCGCGUAGGCGGCCUGCUAAGUCGAACGUGAAAUCCCUGGGCUCAACCCAGGAACUGCGUCCGAUACUGGUUGGCUUGAAUCCGGGAGAGGGAUGUGGAAUUCCAGGUGUAGCGGUGAAAUGCGUAGAUAUCUGGAGGAACACCGGUGGCGAAGGCGACAUCCUGGACCGGUAUUGACGCUGAGGCGCGAAAGCCAGGGGAGCAAACGGGAUUAGAUACCCCCGGUAGUCCUGGCCCUAAACGAUGAAUGCUUGGUGUGGUGGGUAUCGAUCCCUACCGUGCCG
Molecule: ribosomal RNA, 502 nt
Filed under: uncultured Acidobacteriota bacterium
Lineage: Bacteria; Pseudomonadati; Acidobacteriota
Description: bacterial SSU rRNA
Rfam family: Bacterial small subunit ribosomal RNA
Source: RNAcentral